AGAUAAGCUACUAAGAGUAUAUGGUGGAUGCCUUGGCACUGGAAGGCGAUGAAGGACGCGGUAAGCUACGAUAAGCCCCGGAGAGGUGCAAACAACCUUUGACCCGGGGAUUUCCGAAUGGAGAAAUCCAUCUCGAUUAAUAUCGAGAUAUUCCGUAUAUUUAUGUACGGGAGGCUAACCCGGGGAACUGAAACAUCUUAGUACCCGGAGGAAGAGAAAACAAAGUGAUUCCCUGAGUAGUGGUGAGCGAAACGGGAAAAGCCUAAACUCGCUUGUGCGGUAAAGCCUACGCGCGUUGCACAAGGAGAGUAGUGGGGUCCAAUUGGAGUCAAGCGUAGUUAGACUCGAGAGGUUAAAAAAUUUAUGCUUAGCCAAAUCUUUUUGGAAAGAGGAACCAUAGAAGGUGAUAGUCCUGUAA
Molecule: ribosomal RNA, 418 nt
Filed under: Candidatus Hydromicrobium americanum
Lineage: Bacteria; Bacillati; Actinomycetota; Candidatus Humimicrobiia; Candidatus Humimicrobiales; Candidatus Hydromicrobiaceae
Description: bacterial LSU rRNA
Rfam family: Bacterial large subunit ribosomal RNA
Source: RNAcentral